RNAcentral lists this ribosomal RNA (913 nucleotides) under uncultured archaeon. RNAcentral's name for it is "bacterial SSU rRNA". It matches the Rfam family "Archaeal small subunit ribosomal RNA", at positions 1 to 922 of the family's 1478-position model. The record is from RNAcentral.
UUCCGGUUGAUCCUGCCGGACCUGACUGCUAUCGGAUUGAUACUAAGCCAUGUUAGUCUUUGUAGUAAUACAAGGCAUACGGCUCAGUAACACGUAGUCAACCUAACUUAUGGACGGGGAUAACUUCGGGAAACUGAUGAUAAUACCCGAUAGGUCAUUAUGCCUGGAAUGGUUUAUGACUAAAAUGAAUUUCGCCAUAAGAUGGGACUGCGGCCUAUCAGCUUGUUGGUGAGGUAAUGGCCCACCAAGGCUAUAACAGGUACGGGCUCCGAGAGGAGUAGCCCGGAGAUGGGUACUGAGACAAGGACCCAGGUCCUAUGGGACGCAGCAGGCGAGAAAACUUUGCAAUGUGCGAAAGCACGACAAGGUUAAUCCGAGUGUUUCCUGCUAAAGGAAUCUUUUGCUAGUCAUAAAACCACUAACGAAUAAGGGGUGGGCAAGUUCUGGUGUCAGCCGCCGCGGUAAAACCAGCACCUCAAGUGGUCAGGAGGAUUAUUGGGCCUAAAGCAUCCGUAGCCUGUUUUGUAAGUCUUCGGUUAAAUCCACGUGCUCAACAUGUGGGCUGCCGGAGAUACUGCAAAACUAGGGAGUGGGAGAGGUAGACGGUACUUGAUAGGAAGGGGUAAAAUCCUUUGAUCUAUUGAUGACCACCUGUGGCGAAGGCGGUCUACCAGAACACGUUCGACGGUGAGGGAUGAAAGCUGGGGGAGCAAACCGGAUUAGAUACCCGGGUAGUCCCAGCUGUAAACGAUGCAGACUCGGUGAUGCAUUGGUUUAUUGCCAGUGCAGUGCCGCAGGGAAGCCGUUAAGUCUGCCGCCUGGGAAGUACGUACGCAAGUAUGAAACUUAAAGGAAUUGGCGGGGGAGCACCACAAGGGGUGAAGCCUGCGGUUCAAUUGGAUUCAACGCCGGA